ACACGACUACAUUAGAUACCCGGGUAGUCCUAGCCGUAAACGAUACUCGCUAGGUGUCGGCCACGGUGCGACCGUUGUCGGUGCCGUAGGGAAGCCGUGAAGCGAGCCACCUGGGAAGUACGGCCGCAAGGCUGAAACUUAAAGGAAUUGGCGGGGGAGCACAACAACGGGUGGAGCUUGCGGUUUAAUUGGAUUCAACGCCGGAAAUCUUACCGGGACCGACAGCAACAUGAAGGUCAAGCUGAAGACUUUGCCGGAUUAGCUG
This 265-nucleotide ribosomal RNA is filed under the name uncultured archaeon. Its description in RNAcentral is "partial 16S ribosomal RNA". It matches the Rfam family "Archaeal small subunit ribosomal RNA", at positions 717 to 982 of the family's 1478-position model. The record is from RNAcentral.